UAAUAGGAUUGGGGGUUGAUUGGUGUUGGGAGAGCUGAGGAAGUUAUGGAGCUCAGGAUGUCUGUGGGACAUCUCACCUCCCAGUGCAUUUGAUGCAUGGCAUUUAGUUUCCCUCACCAGGCUUCUCUAACAUGCUUCUUCACCAGGACUCAAGAGGGGAGGGCAAGAUAGAGACUCAGAAGAAAUAGAAAAGAAAUAAAGUUUGAGAAAAUGGCAGAGGAGAAAGAGAAAGGAAAAAAAGUUUCCAGAAAACAAACAGAGGACAGUAUAGAAUACUGAACAAAAUGUUAAUUUCCCAUAUUCCAAAAUAAGGUAAACUCUUGAAAAUAAUGCCCCCUGCCCCCAUGCAUAGUAUAUGCCUGAGUCAUCUUUUAAGAAUAGAACUUGAGGGAGAGGUGAGUAUGUUAGAACAAGACAGAGAGAGAUGACAGAGAAGUAUGGCAAUAAGGCAGAAGAGAGUCCUAAGUCUAUAACCUACCCUUGGUUGGGGCAAGCUUGAAAAUGGUAAGAAAGAUGAGUAGAGACAGCAAAUCACAAACUGUCAGCUAAAGAGAGAGUAAAAUCAUUUAGUUAAAUGUAAAUUGCUAAAAAGAACAGACAGGUGCAUAAUUUAUGUAGAUUUGUAUUAAUGACUAGACAAAUGAACAUAAAUUUUCAGAACACUAAUAGCUCAGAAAAUACAUGUUGAUUGAAUUCAGCAUGCAUUUGGAGCAUUUACUGUGUGGUAUCCUUCAUGCUAGGUACUAGAAUACAAAUCCAGUCUGUACAAAUUAAUAGCACACAGAGACAUACACAUUAUACAUGCUGCACUCAAGUACUUAAAAUCUAGCAUGAAGGUGAAUUAUCAGUAAUCAAGUAAACAUACUGUAAGACUAGAGAGAUCAUUAGAAAAAUGAAAUAUUAUAGAUCCUUGUGAGAAGGCAAGAACUCACCGAGGUGAUGUAAUUCUCAUUGACAAGCCAAGAUAGAGAAGCAUAUAUAAGGCCGCUUGCACAGACUCAGCCUGUUUUUCCAGCUAUUUAACUGUUCACAUCAAGACCUGUGUUUAUUUGCAUGGAAGUGGAAUGGACCCGAAGAGCCUGAAAGCAGCAUAGCCGAGUGUCUUGCUGUGAAUUACAGAUGAGGCUGGUGAGGCUUUGCCCUGAGACUCAUAUACCUAGAUCAUUAAAACCACAGAAACCUCAGAGAAAGACUGAAAAUACAGAAUGUGAAACAUGAAGUAGAAAAUUAUCUAAAGCAAUGGCAGGAAGAUCUGGCAAGAUUAGAGCAUGACAGAAUGCCCAAAUUGCUUUUUGAUGCUGACCUGCUGAAAGAAGAGAAAUAGUUACAGGAAAAAGAGAGGGGAAGAAAAACAAACUCAUUUUGAGAUUUGAGGAAAACUGAAUAUCACAUUUCUCAAGUGCUCAUACUGAGCCCUUUUAAUAAUAGGAUUCAAACAGGAAAAUUACUUAUUUGGGUUAUUUUUGGAAAAAAAAUAGAACAAAGUUACUAGCCAACCCAAUUAGUCAACACAGCAGGUUGCCAUAUUUCCUGGCCAAUAACAUAUGGAGGCCUUAGGGGAGCUGCAUGCUGCCUUCCAGAUCAUUGAACAAAUGACUUCCUCAGUGUGUUAAUUAUGCUGAAAGAGUUAAAAAAAAAAAUCUUCUAAAUGUGUUCUCCACUCAAGGGAAUGUUGAGUUCAGAGAAGCUAAGGUGAGUGAAGAACCAAACUAGGACUAUUCCUAAAACCCCCAAUGCCAGGAUCCUGUCCCAUCACCAUUCUACAGCAACACAUGUUCUUUAUUCCUUCUGUUCAUCUUAUUUGCCAUGUCCAUGUCGGUGGCCUGCCUCUAACUUGGGCUUCCAUAGUGAAGGUUAACUUUAGUGGAGGUUAAAUCAUUCUUAUGUUUUUUUGUCCUGAAAGCUCUUUGGCAUGGAAGUCAGCAAUACUGAUUGAAUGUUGGCAGCAGGGGAGCCUAUUGACUCUACUGUCAAGGAGCUCAUUCCAAUGGGAAAGGAAAUUAGGGCAGGUACAUAUUUAAUGUAAGUGCAAGGGACUGUGAUGAUCAUGAAAGAGGAAAAGGUCUUUGGAAGCUUAAAAAUAGGAGGGAUGAAUCCUAAUCUCCCUCAAAUAUGUUUUAGAUCAGGAUAGAGAGUGGGCAAUCAGAGAAUGAUUGUAUUUCAGGUGACGUGGACUUUUGACAAGUAGGUGUUCAAGGAGAGCAUGUGUGCCAAGAAGCUAGAUAGCAUGAGUGACAGAAGAGAUGGAGGUGGAGAGGAACACAGAUUGUUACUCUUGUGCCUGGAGUUGGGCUGGGGAACAGGUAAAGAGUAGCAGGAAAGAAAGAUUGGGACUUUUUGAAGGACUUUGAAUGCCAUUGUGAGGAUUUUACAUUUAAUUUGUUAGGCAAAGGGGAGCCACCAGAUGUUUGUGCAUAAGAGAGUGACAUAAUUAAAACAGUUUUAGGAAGAUUAAUUUGGCAGUUGUCUAUGGUUAGAUUGAUGUUGCAAGAGGCUGGGACUUGGGAAAAAAUAGUUAAUGGGCUUUUACAAGUGUGUCAUCUAACAAGAAGAUCAGUAACUUGAAAAAAUCUUGUAAAUAUUUAAAAUUUCUUAUAAUUCCAUUGAUGUCUAUUUAAAAGGCUCCAAAAGUGUAUCAAGGACAUUAUUAUUUUUUUCUUUUUCUUUUUUUCAAAGAAAGAAAGGUGAGCUGAGAGAACCAGUACCUGUAGUUGAAAGUUUAUUUUCUGGAAAAGGUGCUGGGCCUCCCACUUUCCUGCCAGCACAUCAGCUGUGGAAAGAGCUCUGGCUAGAUCCAUGGUUUCUGGUUCUUGUUCUGUCUUUGCCUUGCUGGGUGACCUUAAACAAGCCAUACCACCUCUUUGGGCCUCGGUGUGAAAUGAGGGCUUGGGCUCCAUGACCUCUAACAUUAUUUCCAUAUUUCACAUUUUCAGGUUUCUUUUCUUAUUUUUUAAAAUAGGAACAAGGGAAUUGCAAUGGAUAAAGAGUUAAUGCCUGUAUAAUUUUCUUCUGCCUAUUUCACUGACUCAUCAAGAAUUUUAGAGAGGAGGAUGAGUUGAAGACUUCAUGCAUGGAUUUAAUGUAGCAUGAGCUUGUUUCAUUUCUUGCAACAAUUUAAAUGCCAUCUUUAAUGUUUUUCUUGUCAUGCUGCUGUUGCUGUUUUUCCUUGUUUCCAAGAAGCUAAACUGUUGCAGAUAUCUGUUCCCGCAUCUUACAGUGAAUUAAGAAUAUGUUAAGGAUAUAUUUUAUUCUUCAUAUUUAAAAAGAUUUAGAAUACCAAUUUAAGUAAACUAGCUGUGGUAUAAUAUUAGUAUAUCUUAGUUUUAUCUGCAAGGGAAUAAUUUAAAUCAGCCUUCUAUGGAUUGUAAUACUUUAAAAACAUGAAUGCGGAGUUCCCGUCGUGGCACAGUGGUUAACGAAUCUGACUAGGAACCAUGAGGUUGAGGGUUUGGUCCCUGCCCUUGCUCAGUGGGUUAACGAUCCGGCAUUGCCAUGAGCUGUGGUGUAGGUUGCAGACGCAGCUGGGAUCCUGCGUUGCUGUGGCUCUGGCGUAGGCUGGUGGCCACAGCUCCGACUGGACCCCUAGCCUGGGAACCUCCAUAUGCCGCGGGAUCGGCCCAAGAAAUGUCAAAAAGACAAAACAAACAAACAAACAAACAAACAAACAUGAAUGCAAGAUGGGUACCACAUGAAGUAACAUACAGAAAUUAUUUCAAUUAUUUAAUUAAAAUAAUUAAAUGAUAAUAGAAGACAUAGUGAGUAUUAGUCAACCAGUGGUAGUAUUUCCAAGACUAACUUAUGGCUCACAUGUUGUUUAAUUUUCCUUAACUAGGAAAGUGCUAUGGUUUAUAAUUCUCAUAUUUUAUUGUCUCCCUAUUCAUUUAUUAAUUUUUUUCUGGGGACUUCCAGAUAGUUUUAUAAAGGCUUGUAAGGAUAGCAUGGUUAAUGUGUAUUUCAGUGAGAAUCUUCUUGAACUGUAUACAAUUAUCAGAGGUUUCAUCCAUGUCAGUUUGGUCAGACAGAUGGGUGAGUCAAAUAUUUUUAACUCUACUCACUUGUCACUUUCCUUAUUAUUUCUAUUUAGGUAGUCAUCAUCUGUUUCUGGAUAUAUCCUAUUACAUUUAAAAAGUAUUUAGCAGACAGAAUUUGAGUCUGGGUAUACCACUGUCAGAAGUACCCCUCCCCUUUUCUUCAAUUUUGCAGAAAAAUGGACAUAGGAACUACAAUGGUGAAGAACUAAUAUAAAGGAAUGACAUAUAUUUGGAACAAUAUCCUUGAUAUGAGUUUCAGAAAUAAGCUAAUAUAAACUCUCUUCUGAGAUGUGGACAAGUAUAGAACAUGAAAAGAAUAUGCCUCUUGCACAAUCCCUGCCUCCCUCAGACACAGAUAACCACUGUUACCAUCACCCUGGUACUUUUGCUCAGAUUGCAGUUGAAUAGACAAGUUCGGUUUUCUUAUUGAAUUCAGUAUAUUAGAUUAAGUGGAGACAUAUGUACAUUUAUUCAUGCUUCUGCAUUUUCUCCCAAGUAGUAUUUUCUACUGGGUCUUGAUCUUUCCCUUUUCUCUUUUAGAAGACACCAAAGGCAUGUUUGCUUUAAGCUAUAAAUCGUUAACUAUUUACUUAAUAAUUUGUUAUGAAUUACUUAUGGAUUAGCAAAUAAAUCAAUAUUUUAGUUUUAGAUCCAAAUAAGAGAAAUUAACUAGUAAGGUAAUAAGAUCAUUAAGAAAUGUUCAUUCAACUUGCCUGUUUUAUUCACCUAAAUCUGCCUCAAAAAAUCUUGGAAUGUUUAAUGUAGUAAAAGAAGCCUUUAAGGAGUCUAAGAUACAAAUCAAUUGACUUUUAACAGUUAUCAGUUUGAAAAACUCAGUAUAAAAUUGAAAUAAACUUACUAUUAGUAAUUUGGACUUUGAUUAAUAUAAAGGAUGAUAUAUACAUCUUUGAAAACUUAUUAUAGUUAUUGUUUCUUAUAGCUAGAAAUGCAGCUUUGGUAAUUAAGUUUAUAUUAGCAUCUAUAUUACAGUAUAUUCAAAUAUAUAAAGUCUCUUCUCUAUUUAUAGCCUGUAGAUCAAUGUCUAAUAGAACUACCUACAGUCAUAGAAAUGUUGUAUAUCUGCUCUGACUGGCAUGGCAACCACUAGCUACAUGUGGCUAUUAAGAACUCCAAAUAUGCUAGAGUUCCCGUCAUGGCUCAGUGGUUAACGAAUCCAACUAAGAA
Molecule: long non-coding RNA, 5216 nt
Filed under: Sus scrofa (pig)
Lineage: Eukaryota; Metazoa; Chordata; Mammalia; Artiodactyla; Suidae
Description: lncRNA (ENSSSCG00025019948.1, ENSSSCG00065056182.1)
Source: RNAcentral